CCAGAUGCCACCCCCCCCCAAAAAAAAAUGACUCCAAAACAAAACCAACCCCUGGAAAUCCCUGGACUUAUUUUCUGGCCUUGUAGGAGAGGCUAUUUUCCCUAAAGUUGCAUGAGGAUGAUGGUGGAGGCAGGGAUACACUCUGUAUGGGGUUGUUCCACAGAGAUAUUUCUCUAAGGAGUGUCACUGGAAUGAGAACUCUAAGCUAAGUUCCAUAUAAAAUAUACCACUUCAGUAGGAAGUAAGAUACUCAAGAUACUCAGACAAAGGCUGAAGGGCCAUUCAUCACAAAUGCUUCAGGGAAUUUCUGGUCAUAUAAGAGCCAAACUAAGUAUUCUCUGAGUUUGCAUAUAAAUUUUGGAUUCGGUGAUUUUCCCCAUAUUGGCCCAGUACCUUUGUGACAGAAAAGCCAUAAGAACAAGGAUUUAUUUACUAAAGUAUGAUGGUCACCAUUUGGCAUAUGACUGUUAGGAUGUCAAGGUAAAAUGACUUGCCCCAAAUCUCAGCUGCUAUGAUACUUUUCAGACCCGAGAUUCUUAUUCUGAACCCCAUGUCCAGUGCUUCCAUUCUAUAUUAUGAUGUGUAACACUAGAAUCAUAAGGGAAUCUAUACUACACUUAGUUUAGUCCAUGAUUUAGCAUGCAUGCAGCCUUAAUAUAAUAUGUUGGGCUGUUUUCAUCACUUUGGCUCAACUAGAAUCUUGAAAUCUUGGUCAAGCUUUCUGAGAGAAUCAGCAAGAUAUAAAAAGUAUGACAGGAAAUCUUGGCAAUCUAAGUUCUUGGAAAAGGUCAUGUCAGUCUUAAUAUCCCUGGCUAUGCUGAUAAGGAAUCCCAUCUCUGACCUGUAUGACUUUAACACCUAUAUGUCCUUGGUGAAUGUAUUAAAGAGAAAGAGAGAGAGAAGGCUAUGGAGAUGGAGAGAGAGAGAGAGAGAGAGAGAGAGAGAGAGAGAGAGAGAGAGAGAGAGAGAGAGAUCCAGACUUGUUUUUUGCUUCUAUCAAUACCACUGUUUUGCUGCUCAAGCUAAAAGAAAGCCUCAUGAAAGAAUUAGUCUGACAUUCAAGGAUGAACACAGGAGGAAAAGCCCUAAUGCACCAUGAACGUUGAAUUGAUUUUGCACUGAUGUGUACUUCCAGUAUGAUGAUUGGUAUUUGUAAAAUAUAGAGUCUGUCCCCAAAUUGCUUACCUCAGUCACCUUCACAGAUCCUGGAAGUCAAAACCAGGGAAAAUGCUGAGAAGCCUAGGAAAAAGGGAAACAAAAGAAAGCAAAACAUAACAAUGACAAGAAUUACUCUGACAUCCACAGGAGGUGAGCAUUUUGCUCUCCUACACUCGGGAAAAAUGUUAUCUCAAUACAAAUAACAUAAUGCAGAGAAAGAACAUAUAUACAACAGAGAAAAUAAUGCCUCUUUCUACUGAUCCUUCAAUUACCUGGAGUGAGUCUCCAUUCUUGGGGAGUUAUCAUCAGGAAGCAUGGGAACAGUUCUAGCAAGCCAUUAUGCUGUCUUUUGUAGGAUUCUUCAAACUUUGAGUAACUUGGGAAUCUUUUGGCUUCCAGUUUCAAGAGAGAAGGUAGAAGAAUGUAACCACUUCAGGAUACUGAAGAAAAAGACUGAGAAGGAGAACAGAGGGGCCUCCAGUUCCAAUUACUUGCUUCCUGUCCUAGCAGUAAAGAUCUCCUUAGAAAAGGAUGAUUGGAGAAGAGCCCAGAGAUGCCUAUUUUUCCUUCCUUCAAAACAUACAACAACAGUUCUUACUAUAGAAGUAGGAAUUCAGCUCAAGGAGACAGAAAGCAUGGCACUUUUUAUAUUCAGAAGACCUGAGGCAAAAGCCUAUCCUGGCGCUCACCAUCUAUGUCUUCUUGGGUAAGUAACCUAAUAUUUGGGCCACAAUUUCCUCAUUUGUAAAUGAAGGAAGUUGGGUAAGAUAAUCUUUAUUUCACUUUAAGCCCUAAAAGUAUGAUCUCAAGACUUCAUUCACUGCAAUAAAUAGUUUUUAAACUCCUGCA
Molecule: long non-coding RNA, 2007 nt
Filed under: Monodelphis domestica (gray short-tailed opossum)
Lineage: Eukaryota; Metazoa; Chordata; Mammalia; Didelphimorphia; Didelphidae
Description: lncRNA (ENSMODG00000036352.2)
Source: RNAcentral